GUGUCUUGGAGAAAGAUUUUGGCCAUUUUCGAAUGCGUUCAGAUUUUGAGGGUGUGAAGGAUCGGAAGGUUGUUCUAUAUCCAUGGCUUCAAUGAUCAGUCUCUUCUCUUCUCCAAAACACAAGGUAAAGCUUAUGGGAGACGAGAGGAUCCGCGAAUAUCCUUCGAACUCGAAGGAUAUUGACCGAACCCAUAAUAGGGAGUAUCUCCUACUUUUUCUUUUAAUUUACGCUUUCCAUUUAUCCUAACUUAUUUUUUAGUGUAUUUAGUUUGUAGGUAAAGUUUAUGUAGAGUCUACUACUAUCCAAUCCAUAUACGACACGAAAAAAUAAAGAUUUUGGUCUAAAAAUUAGAUCCAAACUCUAUAUAGGUCGGGCCAGCCCAGCAUGGUUGAAUAACCAAACCGUUUCGAGGUCUACGCAAAUUUUUACGUGCUAGGCACGGUCCAAAUUUUUAAAAUAAGCUAUCUUGCGGCAGGCGAGUCGAAGUUCCGGAACUCGACUUUGAAUGAAAAGCUGUUUGAACUUGUUUCUUAGAGCAGACAAUCCCUUUUCCAGAUGAUAUUUCUCAGUUUUCUUUCCCGUUUUGUCAAGAUUGCAAAGGGCAACAGCUAAAUGUAACAUGGGGAAGGUAAUAGAUGGAUCGUCAGCGGGUGCAGCCUUCAUCAUUAUCUGUAGACCUAUUUGCAGUAAGCGUUCAGCUUCAGCAAAAUUCUUGGAGCGCGAAUGGGAGGUUGCGAGAUUUACAAGAUUGGGUACUAAGCUGGGAUGUCCUUUUCCUUUAUAUUUCUCAGUUAUGAACAACCAUUCUUCCAACAGGGUUCGGCCUUCUUCUCCCCUGCAAGUAACGAAUAUCAUGAUAAUCCAACAUAAAUAUAUGUAUACUUAGAUUCUAGACAUUUCUUCUAUUGAACAACUAUUAACGACCAGUGGUCAUCGAGCAAUGUCUAUGUGUUUUUUGUGUGUAAAAUAUAAUUUCAGACGACGUA
Molecule: long non-coding RNA, 987 nt
Organism: Andrographis paniculata
Lineage: Eukaryota; Viridiplantae; Streptophyta; Magnoliopsida; Lamiales; Acanthaceae
Exons: 4
Source: RefSeq, a predicted model, not a curated record